UAGGCGGAUCUGUAAGUCAGUGGUGAAAUCUCACAGCUUAACUGUGAAACUGCCAUUGAUACUGCAGGUCUUGAGUAAAGUAGAAGUGGCUGGAAUAAGUAGUGUAGCGGUGAAAUGCAUAGAUAUUACUUAGAACACCAAUUGCGAAGGCAGGUCACUAUGUUUUAACUGACGCUGAUGGACGAAAGCGUGGGGAGCGAACAGGAUUAGAUACCCUGGUAGUCCACGCCGUAAACGAUGCUAACUCGUUUUUGGGUCUUCGGAUUCAGAGACUAAGCGAAAGUGAUAAGUUAGCCACCUGGGGAGUACGUUCGCAAGAAUGAAACUCAAAGGAAUUGACGGGGGCCCGCACAAGCGGUGGAUUAUGUGGUUUAAUUCGAUGAUACGCGAGGAACCUUACCAAGGCUUAAAUGGGAAUUGACAGGUUUGGAAACAGACUUUUCUUCGGACAAUUUUCAAGGUGCUGCAUGGUUGUCGUCAGCUCGUGCCGUGAGGUGUUAGGUUAAGUCCUGCAACGAGCGCAACCCCUGUCACUAGUUGCCAUCAUUCAGUUGGGGACUCUAGUGAGACUGCCUACGCAAGUAGAGAGGAAGGUGGGGAUGACGUCAAAUCAUCACGGCCCUUACGCCUUGGGCCACACACGUAAUACAAUGGCCGGUACAGAGGGCAGCUACUAUGCGAAUAGAUGCGAAUCUCGAAAGCCGGUCUCAGUUCGGAUUGGAGUCUGCAACUCGACUCUAUGAAGCUGGAAUCGCUAGUAAUCGCGCAUCAG
Molecule: ribosomal RNA, 772 nt
Filed under: uncultured Bacteroidota bacterium
Lineage: Bacteria; Pseudomonadati; Bacteroidota
Description: bacterial SSU rRNA
Rfam family: Bacterial small subunit ribosomal RNA
Source: RNAcentral